RNAcentral lists this ribosomal RNA (478 nucleotides) under uncultured bacterium. RNAcentral describes it as "partial 16S ribosomal RNA". It matches the Rfam family "Bacterial small subunit ribosomal RNA", at positions 28 to 507 of the family's 1533-position model. The record is from RNAcentral.
GAUGAACGCUGGCGGCGUGCUUAACACAUGCAAGUCGAACGAGAAGUGGAGACGGAAACCUUCGGGCGGAAGACUUUAGUUCGAGUGGCGGACGGGGGAGUAACGCGUGGGUAACCUGCCUCAUACAGGGGGAUAACAGUUGGAAACGACUGUUAAUACCGCAUAAGACCACAGCACCGCAUGGUGCGGGGGUAAAAACUCCGGUGGUAUGAGAUGGACCCGCGUUCGAUUAGCCAGUUGGCGGGGUAACGGCCCACCAAAGCGACGAUCGAUAGCCGAUCUGAGAGGAUGACCGGCCACAUUGGGGCUGAGCCACGGCCCAAACUCCUACGGGAGGCAGCAGUGGGGGAUAUUGCACAAUGGGGGAAACCCUGAUGCAGCGACGCCGCGUGAGUGAAGAAGUAUUUCGGUAUGUAAAGCCCUAUCAGCAGGGAAGAAAAUGACGGUACCUGAGCAAGAAGCCCCGGCUAACUACGUG